RNAcentral lists this ribosomal RNA (442 nucleotides) under uncultured bacterium. RNAcentral's name for it is "partial 16S ribosomal RNA". It matches the Rfam family "Bacterial small subunit ribosomal RNA", at positions 338 to 795 of the family's 1533-position model. The record is from RNAcentral.
CCUACGGGUGGCAGCAGUGGGGAAUAUUGGGCAAUGGGCGCAAGCCUGACCCAGCAACGCCGCGUGAGGGAAGAAGGCUUUCGGGUUGUAAACUUCUUUUGACAGGGAAGAGAAGAAGACGGUACCUGUCAAAUAAGCCACGGCUAAAUACGUGCCAGCAGCCGAGGUAAUACGUAGGUGGCAAGUGUUGUCCGGAUUUACUGGGUGUAAAGGGCGUGUAGCCGGGCUGACAAGUCAGAUGUGAAAUCCGGGGGAUUAACCCUCGAACUGCAGUUGAAACUGUUGGUCUUGAGUAUCGGAGAGGCAGGCGGAAUUCGUAGUGUAGCGGUGAAAUGCGUAGAUAUUAGGAGGAACACCAGUGGCGAAGGCGGCCUGCUGGACUGCAACUGACGGUGAGGCGCGAAAGCGUGGGGAGCAAACAGGAUUAGAUACCCGAGUAGUC